Molecule: ribosomal RNA, 256 nt
Filed under: uncultured bacterium
Lineage: Bacteria
Description: partial small subunit ribosomal RNA
Rfam family: Bacterial small subunit ribosomal RNA
Source: RNAcentral
AGGAUGAACGCUAGCGGCAGGCCUAACACAUGCAAGUCGAGGGGCAGCACGUCUUCGGAUGGUGGCGACCGGCGCACGGGUGCGUAACGCGUAUGCAACCUACCUCUUACAGUGGGAUAGCCCAGGGAACUUGGAUUAAUACCGCAUAGUAUACGGGACCAGCAUUGGAUCCGUAUUAAACAUUCAUGGGUAAGAGAUGGGCAUGCGUUCUAUUAGUUAGUUGGAGUGGUAACGGCACCCCCAAGGCGGCGAUAGA